UGGUCCCAAAGAACGCACCACAUUUACAACAGAUGCAGUUCAAUAUAAAACACCAGAUCUUUUUAUUGAACUGCAUUUGUUUUUAUCAUUUUUAUCUGGCACGGUUUGUUCUCAUUUUUAUGUUUAAAAAAAAAAUAUAUCAGGAAUAGUUUUUCAGGAAAGGGCAAGUGUUUAGUGAAUAAAAACUUUAAAAAUAUUUUUUUUAAAAAUUACAAAUGUCAUUAUAUUCAGUAUCAUAGACCAAUGCAGCAUAUUUCCUUUUGUAGUUUACAUAUUGGAGGGCAAAAUGCUGCAAGAAAACGUUCUUAAUUAAUCUAAUCUAAUUAAAAAGUUUUUUACAAUACGCAAAUAAAAUGAUGAAUUGUAAUUGUCAAAAACAGCCUUUAAAUUGAUUGAACCUGGGGGGGGUUGAUUUUUAGCAUAUAUAGGCAUCAUUCAUGUGAUAGUACAGUUUCCAGACUUUCCCGCUGAUGUAACUGACUUGUUUGGACUUGUGGUUUUCUUGUGGCUGUUGCAGAUGAAACCCAGGUCAGAGCUGACCCGUUAGAUAAGAUGAUGUCAAACAUGGCCUGUGUUUGCAGAAGGCAUGCAAAUAUUUGAUCUAGACU
Molecule: long non-coding RNA, 608 nt
Organism: Cynoglossus semilaevis (tongue sole)
Lineage: Eukaryota; Metazoa; Chordata; Actinopteri; Pleuronectiformes; Cynoglossidae
Exons: 2
Source: RefSeq, a predicted model, not a curated record